GCCACUUCCACACGCUGUACAUGGAUCUGCCACAGCAUCCUGAGAAAUGUCAUGGGUUUUGUUGUAUGUCUGUGAGCAGCUUUGACAUUUUGUUAGCGAUUCUGCAUCCUGGCAUCACAUACACAAAUAUGAGGAGCUGCGUUUCACCAGAGUAACAGCUCAUCAUGACGUUGAGGUCAUAUUGUCAGGAUGCAAAGUGUAUGAAGCAAACCAUGGAUGUCCUUGAAACCCCGGAAAUGGAUAGAAAUAUUAUAAUGUUUAAAUGUACGAUUGUAUGUGCUAAUAAAAGUAAUGUUUUUAUGUUAUGAAAAGUCUCAUACAAUGUUUUUGUGUAAAAAAACUACUUAUGUUCAAUAAUUACAGUAGGCAAUAAAGAAUUUACUGUACGCCCCUGAGGAAGCAUUUGGAGUGAAACCCGGGUCGGGCAUGAACAGUUGGCUGGUUUUAUGUGAUUUAUAUGCUUUUUUACAUCUAUGCUUGUAAGUAAAAUAAAUAUUUAUAUGGUA
Molecule: long non-coding RNA, 506 nt
Organism: Bufo gargarizans (Asiatic toad)
Lineage: Eukaryota; Metazoa; Chordata; Amphibia; Anura; Bufonidae
Exons: 2
Source: RefSeq, a predicted model, not a curated record